Molecule: long non-coding RNA, 674 nt
Filed under: Helianthus annuus (common sunflower)
Lineage: Eukaryota; Viridiplantae; Streptophyta; Magnoliopsida; Asterales; Asteraceae
Description: sRNA HanXRQr2_Chr16g0768781
Source: RNAcentral
GGGUUCUUUUCAAAACCCUAAACUCACUAAAAUCCAUCAAAAUCUAAGGGAAAUCGAGUUGGAAAUUAGGGCUUUAACUAAAUUCAUGAUCAACCAUGCUAGGAGAUCACAAGUUGACUCUAAACAAGCUAGGUGGGAGCUUGGAAAGGAACGGGUCAAACGGAUCAUGGAUGCGAAGAAUGUUUGCGCGAACGCGAGGUAAGUAAAGCUUACGCCCAAUUGUAGUAAACGUAUGUAUUUUAUAGAUGAUAAAUGUGACAACCGAUUACAUUCGAAAUUGAAGUUCCGACACUAAGCGAUGUGAGUCGGAACGAAUAAAAAUGAUCAAAACCAUGGUUAAUGGUAAAAUGGACAAAAGGGUAAUUUAGUCGUGAAUCGACUAAGAAUUUAUAAGAUUUCUUUAAGGUUACCUUAUAGCGAAACUUGAAAUGGGUCGGAUGUGUGAAGGGGAUAUUAAAAGUCAUGUUUUGACAUAAGUAUAAAUGUUUGGUCAUAAAUACCAAAUGGGUCAAAUGGUGGUGAUGACACCAUUUGACAAUAUCGACUAAUGUUUGGUUGUUAAGUUAAAUGUUCACAGGAGUGAACGGGAAGUGGAUUAUUGCGUUGCUAUAAAGUAGCGGCUAAUAAAAGAAAGGUGAAUGCCAAGAGUGCCCGGAUGAAGAUCAAGCUCGAUG